This 439-nucleotide ribosomal RNA is filed under the name Capnocytophaga granulosa. RNAcentral's name for it is "bacterial SSU rRNA". It matches the Rfam family "Bacterial small subunit ribosomal RNA", at positions 28 to 472 of the family's 1533-position model. Lineage: Bacteria; Pseudomonadati; Bacteroidota; Flavobacteriia; Flavobacteriales; Flavobacteriaceae. The record is from RNAcentral.
GAUGAACGCUAGCGGCAGGCCUAACACAUGCAAGUCGAGGGAGAAGCCCUUCGGGGCAGAAACCGGCGCACGGGUGCGUAACGCGUAUGCAACCUACCUUUCACAGGGGGAUAGCCCGAAGAAAUUUGGAUUAAUACCCCAUAAUAUUAUUGGAUGGCAUCAUUUGAUAAUUAAAAUUACGAUGGUGAAAGAUGGGCAUGCGUCCUAUUAGCUAGUUGGAGUGGUAACGGCACCCCAAGGCUACGAUAGGUAGGGGUCCUGAGAGGGAGAUCCCCCACACUGGUACUGAGACAGGGACCAGACUCCUACGGGAGGCAGCAGUGAGGAAUAUUGGUCAAUGGUCGGAAGACUGAACCAGCCAUGCCGCGUGCAGGAAGAAUGCCUUAUGGGUUGUAAACUGCUUUUAUAUGGGAAGAAUAAGGCGUACGUGUACGUUUGA